CCUGCGAUCUGCUCUCUACUGGCUCUUUACUAACCUGCCAACCUGCUAACCCUGCUAACCUGCUAACCCUGCUACAUGGAGCUCCAGCAGCUCGUCAGCUGGUUCCCUCAACGAGCUGCUAAUCAAUCAGCUGUUCACUGUUUAGUGUUAGCAACAUUAGCUACGAAGCUAACACUCUGUGUGGAGCAGAGCGGCUAGCAGGAACAAGACGUCUACUAGCCUAUGAUCAUUAACAGUAAACCAUGGAUCUGUUCAUUGUGCUCGAUCAUAACGUCACAUUAACAUCCAGGUGAACACGGCACGACUGUAAGCUGACGGCUGUCUGCUGUGCAACCACAGCUACAGCCUCCAUCAGCUAACAGCUAACGUUUAAAGCCUCCACCAGCUAACAGCUAACGUUUAAAGCCUCCAUCAGCUAACAGCUAACGUUUAAAGCAUCCAUCAGCUAACGUUUAAAGCCUCCACCAGCUAUCAGCUAACGUUUAAAGCCUCCAUCAGCUAUCAGCUAACGUUUAAAGCCUCCAUCAGCUAUCAGCUAAAGUUUAAAGCCUCCAUCAGCUAUCAGCUAACGUUUAAAGCCUCCAUCAGCUAACGUUAGCUAAUGUUUGAGUGGACUCUACUGACCUGGAGGCAGCAGUAGACCGGGGACAGGCUUUACUGAGGUGGUACCUGACCUACUGAUGCUGAACAGCCACCUCUAAACACAGCAGGUCGCUCCACUCUCCUCCUCUGUUCCUAACAAGAGUUUCACCUGAAAGCCAGCAGCUAGCUAACGUUAGCCUGUUGGCUUCUUAAACAGGAGUAUUUCCCUGACAGGUUUCUAGAGGUUUAUACGGUUUAAUUUCACACGUCUUCCUGACAGUAACCAUGCUGUUAAAUGUGUGAGGAUGUGUUUGUAAUGAAACUGGCUCCUUGAGACUACAUUAGACCAGCUGAGGUGUCUCUGACAUGAAACUGCUUAAUAACUCCCGCUGCUUGUUGAGUACCUGAAAGGACAUGUCCAUAUAUUAUCACUGAGUUUCAUCUACAGAGUGCCAACAAGGGCUGUGACCUAUUGAUUGGCUGUGUUUCCUCCCACUGAAGUGGCCAUAUUGGAGGUCCACAGCUCUUGGCAACAGUGUUGGACAACAGCUGAUCACAUUUCCCAGCUUCAGACUUCGUCAUCUGAACAACAAUGGAGAGGAGACAUUAUUAAUUCAUGAAGUGUUUUUACUGGCUGUGGACUGAUCAUCUAAUCGACCCCGGUGUCACUCUUGGCACUCACUCACAAUAUGAUUUCAUUAUGGUACAAAGUGAGAUUAUUGAUAUCAUUCAGUAUGGCUGAAUUUAGAAAUGAACAAACAUACAGGCAAUGGUUUUUACCAAGAAUUAUGUGCAUUACUGCUGUUGGAUAAGAAAUAGAGAAGAUAUUUCAUUCUUCUUAAACUGACUGAUGUAAACUGACUCUGUUCUGUCUGGAAGGACAUGAGAUCAGGGCUGCUACUAUUAUAAUUAGUAUCGGUGAAUCAGUCCAUUAUUUCUUCUAUUAAUUGUUGGUGGGAAAAUGCUGGUUACAUCUACAUAUUGUUUGAUUUUAACAGCCCCAAACCCAAAAAUAUUCAGUUUACAAUGAAAUAAAAGCAGAAAAUCCUUACAUUUGAGAAACUGAAACCAGCGAAUGAGUUAAUUAAACCAUUUUUGAGGACCA
This is a long non-coding RNA of Sebastes umbrosus (honeycomb rockfish), 1687 nucleotides long. RefSeq lists it as uncharacterized. Lineage: Eukaryota; Metazoa; Chordata; Actinopteri; Perciformes; Sebastidae. The record is from RefSeq and is a predicted model, not a curated record. The transcript has 2 exons.